Molecule: ribosomal RNA, 254 nt
Filed under: uncultured bacterium
Lineage: Bacteria
Description: partial 16S ribosomal RNA
Rfam family: Bacterial small subunit ribosomal RNA
Source: RNAcentral
UACGGGGGGAGCAAGCGUUGUUCGGAUUUACUGGGCGUAAAGGGCGCGUAGGCGGUCAGCACAAGUCAGUUGUGAAAUCUCUGGGCUUAACUCGGAAAGGUCAACUGAUACUGUGCGACUAGAGUGCAGAAGGGGCAACUGGAAUUCUCGGUGUAGCGGUGAAAUGCGUAGAUAUCGAGAGGAACACCUGCGGCGAAGGCGGGUUGCUGGGCUGACACUGACGCUGAGGCGCGAAAGCCAGGGGAGCGAACGGG